GAGCGCGCGGCGCCUGCGGCGGCGAACGGACGGACGGACCGCGGACGGACGUACUGACCCCAACCCGCGAGCCCCGGGAGCCGUCGGUCUGAGGAGGGGCCGCUUCGCCAUGUCGCCCCGCACCUGCUGAGCCCGGAGCGUCCGAGGAUGUCCGCGCUGAGGAAGGUUUUGCCUGGCAUUCUGCAGAAGCAUUGCUGUAUCUUACCAGACAGGAAUACAGGUAAAUACAUUUCAUUCUUCUGAUUUGGGAUUAUAUGUUUCGUAUCAGUGGCAAAAGUGAGAAAUGUGAUUACCUAAUUUAGAUAUUUUGUGCAUUUUUAUUUUGUGGGUUGUUUUUAGUGCAAGAUUGCGUAUUAACUAACUGUAAGACCUGAAAGUAGGAUAUUUAGUUCUGUGGUGAUUUAUGAGCUGAGCCCAGAGAUCUGUUUUUAUUUGACAGAGGAAAUAGUUUUAUUAAUAGAUGAUUGUUGUCCUGGGUUUUUAAGGGAAACUGGUUGUCUUAUAAACUUGAGUUUGUUGGUUUCAAAGUUGUUUAUUUUGCUAAUUAUACUUAUUUACUAAAGAAAAUCACCAUUCUUAUUGGCUAGAGAGAAAUGUGUUUGGAAUCUGUUUGCAGUCAAGGCCUUUCUUUGUGAUCAGGGUGGGAAUCGGCUAGAUGUUAUGUUCUGGAAACCCCCAAGGUCUCAGUGAAUAAAACACUGGCAUGAAUGUUUUGAAGUGGGAGAUGCAUCUCUGUGUAAUUUCUCAUGGCAGGAUGGGCGUGUGUGGCUGGUGGUUGUGAGGAAGUGUUUUGCCUGACCUUUAAGGAAACAUGACGGAGAAAAAGAAGGUCUAAAAAAAACUUCGUUAUCAUUACAAUUAAGGGGAAAAAAGAAUCAGUCAGGGCUUGUUAUCCUGUGGAUAUGGAUCUGCAUUUUUGUUUUCCUCCUGCAAGAUUUCUGAUUUAUUUUUAUCAAAGAAAUUGCAAGUCCUGAGGAAAGUAUGGAGAAGAUGCCUCUUUCGUGUGAGGGGCU
RNAcentral lists this long non-coding RNA (1013 nucleotides) under Homo sapiens (human). RNAcentral describes it as "HSALNT0344575". The record is from RNAcentral. Lineage: Eukaryota; Metazoa; Chordata; Mammalia; Primates; Hominidae.